RNAcentral lists this ribosomal RNA (1297 nucleotides) under Myrmekiaphila millerae. RNAcentral describes it as "partial 16S large subunit ribosomal RNA". Lineage: Eukaryota; Metazoa; Arthropoda; Arachnida; Araneae; Euctenizidae. The record is from RNAcentral.
UCAGAGGAAUUUGUCUAUUUAUCGUCAUUACUCGUUUAUUUUCACUUUUUUUAUGUUUUCUAUACCGCCGUCUUAAGAUAAAACUUCAAAUUUUUGUCCCAGGCUUUUUUGACAAGUCAGGUCAAGGUGGAGAUCACAAGAAAGUUUAGAUUAAUUAUUUAUAAAUGUUAUUUAAAGCCAAUUUUCUAAAGAAAAUUGAAAUAAAGAUUUGAAAGUAGCUUUAAAUUAAAAAUUUAAAACGAAUUUGUCUCAGGUGUACAUAUCGCCCGUCACCCUCGUCUAAAGAUGAGGUAAGUCGUAACAUAGUUAGUGUACUGGAAAGUGUACUAAGGGAAAUUUAAAAGCUUUAGCGUUUCAUUUACACAGAAAAGAUUAUCUAUUCAAAUUUCAUAAAUUUUCUUUAAUUAAAUCAAUAUUUUCCCCCUUUAUUUCCCAUUUUUAGAAUAUUACCGCAAGGGCUUUCAUAUUGAUCUCAAGAAACUUUUUAAUUUACCUUUUGUAUCAGGGUAAAUCAAACUUUUUUUUUGAAUAUAUCCUCCCGAAAUAAAAUGAGCUACUCCAUUUUUUAUAUUUUAUAGCAAAAAAAUAGUAAAAAUUUAGUAGAAGUGAAAUUCCAUUCGUAUUUUUUUAUACCUGGUUUUUUCAGAUAGUAAAAAUACUUUUACCUAAAAAGGGACAAUCUUUUUUAGCUAUUUAUGUUGAAUUUUCCUCAUUCAUCAAGGAUUAGAAGUGUCUUUCUGUGUAAAAACUACACCUUCUUUUUUCAGAUAAAUUUUAUUAUGAUAAUUCUAUCCCAUUUUUUUAAACAAUGAUUCAAUUAGUAAAGGUCUAUUUAUUCGUCUCUAUUAAAUAAUAUAAAACGAUAUUUUCAAUUUUUUUUCAUUAACUUGGCUAAAUUUUCUGACUGUUUACCAAAAACAUUUCUGAAUGGUUGUUUGUUUUCAGUAAGGCCUGCUCAAUGAUAUUUUCAAUAGCCGCAAUUACGUGCUAAGGUAGCAUAAUCACUUGCCUUAUAAUUUAAGGCUAGAAUGAAAGGUUUAACAUGAUAAUUUCUUUGUAAAUUAAAUUUCUAGAAUUUUACUUAUAAGUAAAAAGGCUUAUAUUCAAAAGGGGGACGACAAGACCCUAACGAGCUUUACUUUCUAGUUUAACUGGGGUGGUAAAAAACUAAAUCUUUUUAUCUUAUUUUUUUCAAUCCUUGCUAAAAGAUUUUCAAGUUACCGUAGGGAUAACAGCAUAAUUUUUUUCUAGAGAUCUUAUCUAAAAAAAAGAUUGUGACCUCGAUGUUGAAUUAAUU